GUCGUCAGCUCGUGUCGUGAGAUGUUGGGUUAAGUCCCGCAACGAGCGCAACCAUUGCCCUAUGUUGCUAAUAUAUCUUCAACCGUAAGGUUUAGAUGUAGGCACUCUUAGGGGACUGCCUGGGAUAACCAGGAGGAAGGUGGAGAUGACGUCAAGUCAGUACGGCCCUUAUGCCCUGGGCUACACACGUGUUACAAUGGCUGGUACAAAGGGUUGCCAACCCGCGAGGGGGAGCUAAUCUCAAAAAACCAGCCCCAGUUCGGAUAGCAGUCUGCAAUUCGACUGCUUGAAGCCCGAAUCCCUAGUAAUGGAAGAUCAGCUCGCUUCCGUGAAUACGUUCCCGGGUCUUGUACACACCGCCCUUCAAGCGAUGAGAGUUAGGAGUACCCGAAGUCCUACGUAGGUAGGCCCAAGGUAAAACUAGCGAUUGGCGCUAAGUCGUAACAAGGUAACCG
RNAcentral lists this ribosomal RNA (455 nucleotides) under uncultured Pseudomonadota bacterium. RNAcentral describes it as "bacterial SSU rRNA". It matches the Rfam family "Bacterial small subunit ribosomal RNA", at positions 1051 to 1502 of the family's 1533-position model. The record is from RNAcentral. Lineage: Bacteria; Pseudomonadati; Pseudomonadota.